GUCUGUUUAAUCUAUCUAUCUGUCUGUCUGUUUCCAUCUUUCUGUCUGUCUGUCUGUCUGUCUAUCUAUUCAUCUGUCUAUCUAUAUCCAUAUGUCUGUCUGUCUGUCUGUCUGUCUGUCUGUCUGUCUAUAUAUUUGUCUAUCUAUAUCCAUCUGUUUAUCUGUCUGUCUGUCUGUCUGUCUGUCUGUCUAUAUCGAUCUGUCUGUCUGUCUAUCUGUCUUUCUGUCCAUCCAUCCAUCUGUCUGUGUAUAUCCGUCUGUCUAUCUAUCUGUCUGUCUGUCUGUCUAUAUCCAUCUGUCUAUCUAUUCAUCUGUCUAUCUAUAUCCCUCUAUCUAUCUAUCUGUCUGUCUGUCUGUCUAUAUCCAUCUGUCUGUCUGUCCAUCUAUUCAUCUGUCUAUCUAUAUCCGUCUGUCUAUCUAUCUAUAUAUCUGUCUGUCUGUCUAUCUGUCUGUCUGUCUGUUUGUCUGAGCUAAAAUCUGCAGGACGGUAGCCCAACCAGGAACAGGGUUGGGCACCCCUGCGCUACAGGAUCGACAGUAGGUAACCACAGCUGUUGGAGCCUCUGGUGCAACAAUUAUGAACGGUAUGUGGAAAAUCCAUCUAUCUGUCUUUCCUUUUGUCUAUCCGUCCGUCUAUCUAUCUCUCUACCUAUCUCUCUACCUAUUUCUCUAUCUAUCUGUCUGUCUGUCUGUCUGUCUUUCUAUCUCUUUCUCUGUCUCUCUGUCUGUCUGUCUGUCUUUCCGUCUGUCUGUCUGUCUGUCUGUCUGUCUGUCUAAACCAGUAUUCAAACCAGUCAGAGACAGCGAUGUGAGGACAUCAACAGAAAAUAAAGUAAGAUUAAUAAUAUUAUGUUUAAUAAUAUAUUAUUAUUAUAUUAUAUUAUUUAUCUUUGUGCAAUUUGACUUGAAUUACAUUAUUGAAUGUAUCUAAUUUGGUAAGUCUUGUUAAUAGUGUAAAAGUAAAGCGCUCUCAAUGCGAAUCAAACAACUGCUCGACUAAGGAGAUGAAGAGAAAAGGGCAGCUGCACAAUCCUAAAAAUGUGUGGCUUGCAAGACAUUACUAGAGCUAGCCGGUGUGGUCGCAGGACGGAGUGACCAAAGGAGGAAGAGGUUGUGUUUUCAGCUCUUGGAGUCAAACCCAUUGUACUGGCUGUGGACAAAGUGGGUUUCUGAAGGGAAUCACCACUAACAUGGUGUCAGACGAAGAAGACAAUGCUGUUGAUGGAGUGCCGGGUGGAUUGUGAGACCUUCAUCGUUCUGCAGCCAGGCGCUCAGCAAUCUGUGUGCUAAGCUGCAGGUGUGACUGUGUGUGUUUGAAGUAUGCAGCGCUUGCAUCACAGUCUGCAAUGAAUUGCUGUCUAACAGAAUGCCACCGCUUACCUACGACCCCGAGGCAGCAAAAUAAACACAUUUGAUGCCAAAUGUGAUCCCAAGAACACAAUCUCUAGCUAUUUUUUACUUUUUGUGUGUUUAUUUUUCCUAUGCUUUAUUAAUAAAACUUAC
Long non-coding RNA from Misgurnus anguillicaudatus (oriental weatherfish), 1503 nucleotides. RefSeq lists it as uncharacterized. The record is from RefSeq and is a predicted model, not a curated record. NCBI's taxonomy places the organism in Eukaryota, Metazoa, Chordata, Actinopteri, Cypriniformes, Cobitidae.